GACGAACGCUGGCGGCGUGCCUAAUACAUGCAAGUCGAGCGGACUGAAUGGGAGCUUGCUCUUGUUCGGUCAGCGGCGGACGGGUGAGUAACACGUGGGCAACCUGCCCGCAAGACCGGGAUAACUCCGGGAAACCGGAGCUAAUACCGGAUAACACCGAAGACCGCAUGGUCUUUGGUUGAAAGGCGGCGCAAGCUGCCACUUGCGGAUGGGCCCGCGGCGCAUUAGCUAGUUGGUGAGGUAACGGCUCACCAAGGCGACGAUGCGUAGCCGGCCUGAGAGGGUGACCGGCCACACUGGGACUGAGACACGGCCCAGACUCCUACGGGAGGCAGCAGUAGGGAAUCUUCCGCAAGAGGCGAAAGCCUGACGGAGCGACGCCGCGUGAGCGAAGAAGGCCUUCGGGUCGUAAAGCUCUGUUGUGAGGGACGAAGGAGCGCCGUUUGAAGAAGGCGGCGCGGUGACGGUACCUCACGAGGAAGCCCCGGCUAACUACGUG
This 499-nucleotide ribosomal RNA is filed under the name uncultured bacterium. Its description in RNAcentral is "partial 16S ribosomal RNA". It matches the Rfam family "Bacterial small subunit ribosomal RNA", at positions 28 to 507 of the family's 1533-position model. The record is from RNAcentral.